This 740-nucleotide ribosomal RNA is filed under the name Klebsiella pneumoniae. RNAcentral's name for it is "partial 16S ribosomal RNA". It matches the Rfam family "Bacterial small subunit ribosomal RNA", at positions 50 to 778 of the family's 1533-position model. Lineage: Bacteria; Pseudomonadati; Pseudomonadota; Gammaproteobacteria; Enterobacterales; Enterobacteriaceae. The record is from RNAcentral.
AACACAUGCAAGUCGAGCGGUAGCACAGAGAGCUUGCUCUCGGGUGACGAGCGGCGGACGGGUGAGUAAUGUCUGGGAAACUGCCUGAUGGAGGGGGAUAACUACUGGAAACGGUAGCUAAUACCGCAUAACGUCGCAAGACCAAAGUGGGGGACCUUCGGGCCUCAUGCCAUCAGAUGUGCCCAGAUGGGAUUAGCUAGUAGGUGGGGUAACGGCUCACCUAGGCGACGAUCCCUAGCUGGUCUGAGAGGAUGACCAGCCACACUGGAACUGAGACACGGUCCAGACUCCUACGGGAGGCAGCAGUGGGGAAUAUUGCACAAUGGGCGCAAGCCUGAUGCAGCCAUGCCGCGUGUGUGAAGAAGGCCUUCGGGUUGUAAAGCACUUUCAGCGGGGAGGAAGGCGAUAAGGUUAAUAACCUUGUCGAUUGACGUUACCCGCAGAAGAAGCACCGGCUAACUCCGUGCCAGCAGCCGCGGUAAUACGGAGGGUGCAAGCGUUAAUCGGAAUUACUGGGCGUAAAGCGCACGCAGGCGGUCUGUCAAGUCGGAUGUGAAAUCCCCGGGCUCAACCUGGGAACUGCCCUCGANACUGGCANGCUAGAGUCUUGUANAGAGGGGGUAGAAUUUCAGGUGUANCGCCUGAAAUGCGUACANAUCUGGAGGNAUANACNAUGGNGAANAUCUGCUCCCUGNGUGCACACNGACNCUCACNUGCUGAANGNUGUUGUUGUACAGGAG